UACGAAGGGUGCAAGCGUUGCUCGGAAUUAUUGGGCGUAAAGGGUAGGUAGGUGGUGAUGUAUGUCUGGAGUGAAAUCCCUGGGCUUAACCCAGGACGUGCUUUGGAAACGGCAACACUAGAGUACUGGAGAGGUUCGCAGAAUUCCCGGUGUAGCGGUGAAAUGCGUAGAGAUCGGGAGGAAUACCAGAGGCGAAGGCGGCGAACUGGACAGUGACUGACACUCAACUACGAAAGCGUGGGUAGCAAACAGG
RNAcentral lists this ribosomal RNA (253 nucleotides) under uncultured bacterium. RNAcentral describes it as "partial 16S ribosomal RNA". It matches the Rfam family "Bacterial small subunit ribosomal RNA", at positions 524 to 776 of the family's 1533-position model. The record is from RNAcentral.